GACGAACGCUGGCGGCGUGCUUAACACAUGCAAGUCGAACGGAAAGGCCCUGCUUUUGUGGGGUGCUCGAGUGGCGAACGGGUGAGUAACACGUGAGUAACCUGCCCUUGACUUUGGGAUAACUUCAGGAAACUGGGGCUAAUACCGGAUAGGAGCUCCUGCUGCAUGGUGGGGGUUGGAAAGUUUCGGCGGUUGGGGAUGGACUCGCGGCUUAUCAGCUUGUUGGUGUGGUAGUGGCUUACCAAGGCUUUGACGGGUAGCCGGCCUGAGAGGGUGACCGGCCACAUUGGGACUGGGAUACGGCCCAGACUCCUACGGGAGGCAGCAGUGGGGAAUAUUGCACAAUGGGCGGAGGCCUGAUGCAGCAACGCCGCGUGCGGGAUGACGGCCUUCGGGUAGUAAACCGCUUUCGCCUGUGACGAAGCGUGAGUGACGGUAAUGGGUAAAGAAGCACCGGCUAACUACGU
Molecule: ribosomal RNA, 467 nt
Filed under: uncultured bacterium
Lineage: Bacteria
Description: partial 16S ribosomal RNA
Rfam family: Bacterial small subunit ribosomal RNA
Source: RNAcentral